Molecule: ribosomal RNA, 463 nt
Filed under: uncultured bacterium
Lineage: Bacteria
Description: partial 16S ribosomal RNA
Rfam family: Bacterial small subunit ribosomal RNA
Source: RNAcentral
GAUGAACGCUGGCGGCGUGCUUAACACGUGCAAGUCGAACGAUGAAGCCCAGCUUGCUGGGUGGAUUAGUGGCGAACGGGUGAGUAACACGUGAGUAACCUGCCCUUAACUCUGGGAUAAGCCUGGGAAACUGGGUCUAAUACCGGAUAGGAGCGCCUACCGCAUGGUGGGUGUUGGAAAGAUUUAUCGGUUUUGGAUGGACUCGCGGCCUAUCAGCUUGUUGGUGAGGUAAUGGCUCACCAAGGCGACGACGGGUAGCCGGCCUGAGAGGGUGACCGGCCACACUGGGACUGAGACACGGCCCAGACUCCUACGGGGGCAGCAGUGGGGAAUAUUGCACAAUGGGCGAAAGCCUGAUGCAGCGACGCCGCGUGAGGGAUGACGGCCUUCGGGUUGUAAACCUCUUUCAGUAGGGAAGAAGCGAAAGUGACGGGACCUGCAGAAGAAGCACCGGCUAACUACG